This 628-nucleotide ribosomal RNA is filed under the name uncultured fungus. Its description in RNAcentral is "eukaryotic LSU rRNA". The stretch from base 292 to 445 matches the Rfam family "5.8S ribosomal RNA". The record is from RNAcentral. Lineage: Eukaryota; Fungi.
UGAGAAUCGUUUUCAUCUCCCUUCGCACCUGGAGGAGCGGUAAUUGAUAGAGGCAUUGAAAGGGAUUACUUCGGUAGUCAGUUUCUAUCAAGAAUAGUGGUAAAUCGAAAGAUUUAUGCAAUACGCUGAACCAUUUCGCGGAGAUUCGUCCCGGACAGUGCUCCCAUUUCAUUGAGCGCUAGAUGGGAUAACUUAUUAACUUAUUUCACCUUUUUGCUAGUUGACUUUUAUAUGUUGUUCUUUGCGCUUGCGUAAGGUUCACACGUUUAAUUAUUUGAACGUUAAAAAUACAACUCUUAGCAAUGGAUAUCUUGGUUCUCGCAACGAUGAAGAACGCAGCGAAAUGCGAUACGUAAUGCGAAUUGCAGAAUUCAGUGAAUCAUCAAAUCUUUGAACGCAAAUUGCGCUUCUGGGUAGCCCUAGGAGCACGCCUCUCUCAGUAUCGGUUCAACCCUCUCUCAGCAGCGUGUUUAUAUUUAAGUUUCGGCUUAUUUGUUUAUGCGUGUUGGCUGGAUAAUGAGAGUCUGUAUGCUUGCGUGCAGUCUCUUUAAGUACAUGGAGUAAAACAAUCAACUUUCGAUCAGUGCCUGCUUUUCGCGGCUAGCUUAUUGCUGACUGUUGUUCGAUA